GCGCAGGUGGUGGAAUGGUAGACACUAGGGACUUAAAAUCCCUUGGCCUUUAGGCCGUGCAGGUUCGACUCCUGUUCUGCGCA
Molecule: transfer RNA, 83 nt
Filed under: bacterium
Lineage: Bacteria
Also listed under: 3 other names
Description: tRNA-Leu
Rfam family: tRNA
About the family: Transfer RNA (tRNA) molecules are approximately 80 nucleotides in length. Their secondary structure includes four short double-helical elements and three loops (D, anti-codon, and T loops).
Source: RNAcentral